This 222-nucleotide long non-coding RNA is filed under the name Ursus maritimus (polar bear). Its description in RNAcentral is "lncRNA (ENSUMAG00000005791.1)". Lineage: Eukaryota; Metazoa; Chordata; Mammalia; Carnivora; Ursidae. The record is from RNAcentral.
CGCACAUUUGUUCUGGGCUGCGUGAAUUCAUUUCCAGGAGGAUGUUUGAUAUACAUUGAGGCUUAAGAAACUCUGGAUGCCACGAACAAGGCCUGAAGUACUGGAACCGUCUUCGCCCUGAUCAGUGUGUCCCAACCCGCGAUGUAUUCGUUGGCAGAGGGGUGUACUCAACACAUUCACAUCUCCCUUCGCGGAUCAUCUAUUUUAGUCAUGUGAGUUUAA